RNAcentral lists this ribosomal RNA (445 nucleotides) under uncultured bacterium. RNAcentral describes it as "partial 16S ribosomal RNA". It matches the Rfam family "Bacterial small subunit ribosomal RNA", at positions 354 to 796 of the family's 1533-position model. The record is from RNAcentral.
GUGAGGAAUAUUGGUCAAUGGGCGCAAGCCUGAACCAGCCAUGCCGCGUGCAGGAAGACGGUCCUAUGGAUUGUAAACUGCUUUUAUUUGGGAAUAAACUCCGGUACGUGUACCGGCCUGAAGGUACCAAAUGAAUAAGCACCGGCUAACUCCGUGCCAGCAGCCGCGGUAAUACGGAGGGUGCAAGCGUUAUCCGGAAUAAUUGGGUUUAAAGGGUCCGCAGGCGGUCUUAUAAGUCAGUGGUGAAAGCCUACAGCUCAACUGUAGAACUGCCAUUGAUACUGUAGGACUUGAAUUCGAUCGAAGUGGGCGGAAUGUGACAUGUAGCGGUGAAAUGCUUAGAUAUGUCACAGAACACCGAUAGCGAAGGCAGCUCACUAGGUCUGGAUUGACGCUCAGGGACGAAAGCGUGGGGAGCAAACAGGAUUAGAAACCCGGGUAGUCC